This 323-nucleotide long non-coding RNA is filed under the name Malus domestica (apple). Its description in RNAcentral is "long non-coding RNA (MDOM_LNC010612)". The record is from RNAcentral. Lineage: Eukaryota; Viridiplantae; Streptophyta; Magnoliopsida; Rosales; Rosaceae.
AGAAAAUUCACCCUCAAGGUGGCCGGCCUUUGUGGUUUUAGAGAGCUAUUUUCUUUUGCCUCUUUGUUGUUUUAAACACACAAAAACCCUAAUGAACUUUGUGCUAUAAAGUUCCUUAUAUAGACAAAAGAAACCUAGUCAACAACUUGACUAAAUAUCUCUCCCAAACCCUUUAAGUGGCCGGCCCUUUAGUGUUUGGUUUGGGCUUUGGGCUUUUAUUAUUUCAAGUCAUCCUAUGCUUGAAUAAAAGCCCAAUGGGCCCAAUUAAACCCGAACGUUUCUUUAAGCCCAAAACGAUCUUUUAUCGCUUUUAUGAUUUCUUU